GCCCGUGUGGUGUAGUGGUUUGAGCAUUGGACUAUGACUCUCAAGAUGAAGGUUUGAAUCCCUGCUUGGCCA
Molecule: non-coding RNA, 72 nt
Organism: Phrynosoma platyrhinos (Desert horned lizard)
Lineage: Eukaryota; Metazoa; Chordata; Lepidosauria; Squamata; Phrynosomatidae
Source: the annotation of a GenBank genome assembly